Molecule: non-coding RNA, 83 nt
Organism: Merluccius polli (Benguela hake)
Lineage: Eukaryota; Metazoa; Chordata; Actinopteri; Gadiformes; Merlucciidae
Source: the annotation of a GenBank genome assembly
GCUGUGAUGGCCGAGUGGGUAAGGCGUUGGACUCAAAAUCCAAUGGGGUAUCCCCACGCAGGGUCAAAUGAUGCUCAGCAGCU